This 492-nucleotide ribosomal RNA is filed under the name uncultured bacterium. RNAcentral describes it as "partial 16S ribosomal RNA". It matches the Rfam family "Bacterial small subunit ribosomal RNA", at positions 29 to 507 of the family's 1533-position model. The record is from RNAcentral.
AGUGAACGCUGGCGGUAGGCCUAACACGUGCAAGUCGAACGGCAGCACAGUAAGAGCUUGCUCUUACGGGUGGCGAGUGGCGGACGAGUGAGGAAUACGUCGGAAUCUACUUUUUCGUGGGGGAUGACGUAGGGAAACUUACGCUAAUACCGCAUACGACCUACGGGUGAAAGCAGGGGAUCUUCGGACCUUGCGCGAUUGAAUGAGCCGAUGUCGGAUUAGCUAGUUGGCGGGGUAAAGGCCCACCAAGGCGACGAUCCGUAGCUGGUCUGAGAGGAUGAUCAGCCACACUGGAACUGAGACACGGUCCAGACUCCUACGGGAGGCAGCAGUGGGGAAUAUUGGACAAUGGGCGCAAGCCUGAUCCAGCCAUACCGCGUGGGUGAAGAAGGCCUUCGGGUUGUAAAGCCCUUUUGUUGGGAAAGAAAAGCAGCAGGUUAAUACCCCGCUGUUCUGACGGUACCCAAAGAAUAAGCACCGGCUAACUUCGUG